GAUCUUGGUCAGGAUGAACGCUAGCUACAGGCUUAACACAUGCAAGUCGAGGGGCAGCAUUGGGGUAGCAAUACUCAGAUGGCGACCGGCGCACGGGUGAGUAACACGUAUCCAACCUGCCGCUUACUCGGGGAUAGCCUUUCGAAAGAAAGAUUAAUACCCGAUGGUAUAAAGAGUUCGCAUGUUCUCUUUAUUAAAGAAUUUCGGUAAGCGAUGGGGAUGCGUUCCAUUAGAUAGUUGGCGGGGUAACGGCCCACCAAGUCUACGAUGGAUAGGGGUUCUGAGAGGAAGGUCCCCCACAUUGGAACUGAGACACGGUCCAAACUCCUACGGGAGGCAGCAGUGAGGAAUAUUGGUCAAUGGACGAGAGUCUGAACCAGCCAAAAGUAGCGUGAAGGAUGACUGCCCUAUGGGUUGUAAACUUCUUUUAUAAGGGAAUAAAGUGAGGGACGUGUCCCUUUUUGUAUGUACCUUAUGAAUAAGGAUCGGCUAACUCCGUGCCAGCCGCCGC
This 511-nucleotide ribosomal RNA is filed under the name uncultured bacterium. Its description in RNAcentral is "bacterial SSU rRNA". It matches the Rfam family "Bacterial small subunit ribosomal RNA", at positions 15 to 518 of the family's 1533-position model. The record is from RNAcentral.